AUACCGGAGGGUGGCAAGGCGUUAAUUCGGAAUUUACUGGGGCGUAAAGCGCACGCCAGGCGGGUCUGUCAAGUCGGGAUGUGAAAUUCCCCGGGCUCAACCUGGGAACUGCAUUCGAAACUGGCAGGGCUGGAGUCUUGUAGAGGGGGGUAGAAUUCCAGGUGUAGCGGUGAAAUGCGUAGAGAUCUGGAGGAAUACCGGUGGCGAAGGCGGCCCCCUGGACAAAGACUGACGCUCAGGUGCGAAAGCGUGGGGAGCAAACAGGAUUAGAUACCCUGGUAGUCCACGCCGUAAACGAUGUCGAUUUGGAGGUUGUGCCCUUGAGGCGUGGCUUCCGGAGCUAACGCGUUAAAUCGACCGCCUGGGGAGUACGGCCGCAAGGUUAAAACUCAAAUGAAUUGACGGGGGCCCGCACAAGCGGUGGAGCAUGUGGUUUAAUUCGAUGCAACGCGAAGAACCUUACCUGGUCUUGACAUCCACAGAACUUUGCAGAGAUGGAUUGGUGCCUUCGGGAACUGUGAGACAGGUGCUGCAUGGCUGUCGUCAGCUCGUGUUGUGAAAUGUUGGGUUAAGUCCCGCAACGAGCGCAACCCUUAUCCUUUGUUGCCAGCGGUUAGGCCGGGAACUCAAAGGAGACUGCCAGUGAUAAACUGGAGGAAGGUGGGGAUGACGUCAAGUCAUCAUGGCCCUUACGACCAGGGCUACACACGUGCUACAAUGGCGCAUACAAAGAGAAGCGACCUCGCGAGAGCAAGCGGACCUCAUAAAGUGCGUCGUAGUCCGGAUUGGAGUCUGCAACUCGACUCCAUGAAGUCGGAAUCGCUAGUAAUCGUAGAUCAGAAUGCUACGGUGAAUACGUUCCCGGGCCUUGUACACACCGCCCGUCACACCAUGGGAGUGGGUUGCAAAAGAAGUAGGUAGCUUAACCUUCGGGAGGGCGCUAACCACUUUGAUUCAAUGGCCCG
RNAcentral lists this ribosomal RNA (965 nucleotides) under Enterobacter cloacae. Its description in RNAcentral is "bacterial SSU rRNA". It matches the Rfam family "Bacterial small subunit ribosomal RNA", at positions 523 to 1478 of the family's 1533-position model. The record is from RNAcentral. Lineage: Bacteria; Pseudomonadati; Pseudomonadota; Gammaproteobacteria; Enterobacterales; Enterobacteriaceae.